Zingiber officinale is the source of this 669-nucleotide long non-coding RNA. RefSeq lists it as uncharacterized. The record is from RefSeq and is a predicted model, not a curated record. NCBI's taxonomy places the organism in Eukaryota, Viridiplantae, Streptophyta, Magnoliopsida, Zingiberales, Zingiberaceae. The transcript is spliced from 4 exons.
CUUUUUCAUUGCUAGUUUGAGAGUUACUGCAUAUUGCCUCAUUUAAUAGAAGAAAGUCAUAUAAUUUGUCUAUCAUCUUCUUUGUUGUCUUUGCCCCUAGUUGGAAAUUGAUAGUUCUCUUGUAUUACAAUAGGGAAAUUAUGCAGAAGCGAUAGCCUGUAAAUUUGAUUGGAUUAUAGUUUUAUAUUGAUUGGAUUAUAGUUUUAAAUUUGAUGGAAUGCUUGCCUUUAUGCACAGAGACUAUGCUUUGCAUCGGAAGUGAAUGGCAUCGUUAUCCUUCUUCAUUUUUUAUGCCUUCGUACAUUAAGGAAGUUCAAUGGAUAAAUGAAGGAUUUAGGGGUCUUCUCCCAUAUCCUUUUAAUUCAAGUUUGGGAGGCAUGACAACUACCCCACCUUAUUUCAAUGACAAGAACAAGGCUUCAAGAUAUCAAACUCUACACCUUCUAUAUGGAGCUAGAUUUGCAAAAGCCAUAUCCAACUCGAGGAAGUGACUUAUUGACAUGGGAGAGAACUUAUUGGUAACCAAGGACUUUGUGAAGAUAGCAAAUUUUGGCCUUGCUCGUGAAGUUCAUUCGAAGCCACCAUUCACAGAAUAGGUUUCAACACGCUGUUUACAAAUCUCAAGUACUCCAGAGUUGAAAUUGAUGAAAUGCAGUUCGAGUGGGCUGA